This 75-nucleotide transfer RNA is filed under the name Cordylochernes scorpioides. RNAcentral describes it as "tRNA-Thr". It matches the Rfam family "tRNA". From Rfam's summary of the family: Transfer RNA (tRNA) molecules are approximately 80 nucleotides in length. Their secondary structure includes four short double-helical elements and three loops (D, anti-codon, and T loops). The record is from RNAcentral. Lineage: Eukaryota; Metazoa; Arthropoda; Arachnida; Pseudoscorpiones; Chernetidae.
GUCCAGGGUAGCCUAGUGGUCAUGGCAUCUGCCCGGUAAGCGGAAGGUCGUGAGUUCGAUUCCCAUCCCUUGACA